AAUGAACGCUGGCGGCAUGCCUAACACAUGCAAGUCGAACGAGACCUUCGGGUCUAGUGGCGCACGGGUGCGUAACGCGCAGGAACCUGCCCUAGGGCUCGGAAUAACAGUGAGAAAUUACUGCUAAUAACGGAUGAUGUCUUCGGACCAAAGAUUUAUCGCCCAGGGAUGAGCCCGCGUAGGAUUAGCUAGAUGGUGGGGUAAUGGCCUACCAAGGCUAAGCUCCUUAGCUGGUCUGAGAGGAUGAUCAGCCACACUGGUACUGAGACACGGCCCAGAAUCCGGAGGCAGGCAGCAGUGGGGACUAUUGGACAAGGGACGAAAGCCGGAUCCAGCAAUGCCGCGUGAGUGAUGAAGGCCUUAGGGUUGUAUAGCUCUUUUACCCUGGAUGAUACUGGCAGUACCGUGAGAAUAAGCUCCGGCUGACUCCGUG
RNAcentral lists this ribosomal RNA (433 nucleotides) under uncultured bacterium. RNAcentral's name for it is "partial 16S ribosomal RNA". It matches the Rfam family "Bacterial small subunit ribosomal RNA", at positions 29 to 507 of the family's 1533-position model. The record is from RNAcentral.